AGAGUUUGAUCCUGGCUCAGAACGAACGCUGGCGGCGUGCCUCAUACAUGCAAGUCGUGCGAGAAAGCCCGCUUCGGUGGGUGAGUAAAGCGGCGAACGGGUGCGUAACACGUGAGUAAUCUGCCCUGAGGUGGGGGAUAAGCUCCCGAAAGGGGGUCUGAUACCGCAUAACAUUCCCUGGAGGCAUUUUCGGGGAAUCAAAGAUGGCCUCUAUUUAUAAGCUAUCUCCGCAGGAUGAGCUCGCGCUCCAUUAGCCUGUUGGUAGGGUAACGGCCUACCAAAGCCACGAUGGAUAGCCGGCCUGAGAGGGUGAACGGCCACACUGGGACUGAGAUACGGCCCAGACUCCUACGGGAGGCAGCAGUAGGGAAUAUUGCGCAAUGGACGAAAGUCUGACGCAGCAACGCCGCGUGUGGGAUGAAGCUCUUUGGAGUGUAAACCACUGUCGGGAGGGACGAACGAUUAUGGCUCUAACAUAGCUAUAGUUUGACGGUACCUUCAAAGGAAGCUCCGGCUAACUCCGUGCCAGCAGCCGCGGUAAUACGGGGGGAGCAAGCGUUGUUCGGAAUCACUGGGCGUAAAGGGUGCGCAGGCGGGAGAUUAAGUCGGAUGUGAAAACCUCGGGCUCAACCCGAGGCCUGCAUUUGAAACUGAUCUUCUUGAGUAUCGGAGAGGAAAGCGGAACUCCAGGUGUAGCGGUGAAAUGCGUAGAUAUCUGGAGGAACACCUGUGGCGAAGGCGGCUUUCUGGCCGAAUACUGACGCUCAUGCACGAAGGCUAGGGGAGCAAACAGGAUUAGAUACCCUAGUAGUCCUAGCGGUAAACGAUGGGCACUAGGUGUCGGGGGUAUCGACCCCCACGGUGCCGCAGCAAACGCAUUAAGUGCCCCGCCUGGGGAGUACGGCCGCAAGGCUGAAACUCAAAGGAAUUGACGGGGGCCCGCACAAGCAGUGGAGUAUGUGGUUUAAUUCGAUGCAACGCGAAGAACCUUACCUGGGCUUGACAUGUACUGGAAAGCUUCAGAGAUGAAGUCCCUCCGAAAGGAGUCGGUGCACAGGUGCUGCAUGGCUGUCGUCAGCUCGUGCCGUGAGGUGUUGGGUUAAGUCCCGCAACGAGCGCAACCCCUGUCCCUAGUUGCCAACGUAAAGUCGGGAACUCUAGGGAGACAGCCGGUGAUAAGCUGGAGGAAGGUGGGGAUGACGUCAAGUCCUCAUGGCCCUUACGCCCAGGGCUACACACGUACUACAAUGGCCGGUACAGAGGGUCGCAAGACCGCGAGGUGGAGCCAAUCCUAAAAACCGGUCUCAGUUCAGAUUGGAGUCUGCAACCCGACUCCAUGAAGGUGGAAUUGCUAGUAAUCGCGGAUCAGCUGGUCGCGGUGAAUACGUUCCCGGGCCUUGUACACACCGCCCGUCAAGCCAUGGAAGCCGGGAGUACCCGAAGCCACCUUGUUAACCCGCAAGGGAAACGGGUGUCUAAGGUAAAACCGGUGACUGGGGCUAAGUCGAAACAAGGUA
This 1517-nucleotide ribosomal RNA is filed under the name metagenome. RNAcentral's name for it is "bacterial SSU rRNA". It matches the Rfam family "Bacterial small subunit ribosomal RNA". The record is from RNAcentral.